RNAcentral lists this ribosomal RNA (957 nucleotides) under uncultured bacterium. RNAcentral's name for it is "bacterial SSU rRNA". It matches the Rfam family "Bacterial small subunit ribosomal RNA", at positions 8 to 954 of the family's 1533-position model. The record is from RNAcentral.
AGAGUUUGAUCAUGGCUCAGGAUGAACGCUAGCGGCAGGCCUAACACAUGCAAGUCGAGGGGUAACAUAGGAAAGCUUGCUUUUCUGAUGACGACCGGCGCACGGGUGCGUAACGCGUAUACAACCUGCCUUUUAGCGGGGAAUAGCCCAGGGAAACUUGGAUUAAUGCCCCAUAGUAUGGAGAUCUCUCCUGAGAUUUUCAUUAAACAUUUAUGGCUAUUAGAUGGGUAUGCGUCCUAUUAGUUAGUUGGUAAGGUAACGGCUUACCAAGGCAGCGAUAGGUAGGGGUCCUGAGAGGGAGAUCCCCCACACUGGUACUGAGACACGGACCAGACUCCUACGGGAGGCAGCAGUGAGGAAUAUUGGACAAUGGGCGAGAGCCUGAUCCAGCCAUGCCGCGUGCAGGAAGACUGCCCUAUGGGUUGUAAACUGCUUUUACAGAGGAAGAACCACUCCCACGUGUGGGAGUUUGACGGUACUCUGCGAAUAAGGAUCGGCUAACUCCGUGCCAGCAGCCGCGGUAAUACGGAGGAUCCAAGCGUUAUCCGGAAUCAUUGGGUUUAAAGGGUCCGUAGGCGGGCAGUUAAGUCAGUGGUGAAAGUCUUCCGCUCAACGGGAGAACUGCCAUUGAUACUGAUUGUCUUGAGUUAUUAUGAAGUGGUUAGAAUGAGUAGUGUAGCGGUGAAAUGCAUAGAUAUUACUCAGAAUACCGAUUGCGAAGGCAGAUCACUAAUAAUAUACUGACGCUGAUGGACGAAAGCGUAGGUAGCGAACAGGAUUAGAUACCCUGGUAGUCUACGCCGUAAACGAUGGUUACUAGCUGUUCGGCCCGAUUAAGGGCUGAGUGGUUAAGCGAAAGUGAUAAGUAACCCACCUGGGGAGUACGUUCGCAAGAAUGAAACUCAAAGGAAUUGACGGGGGCCCGCACAAGCGGUGGAGCAUGUGGUUUUAAUUCGA